Molecule: ribosomal RNA, 492 nt
Filed under: uncultured bacterium
Lineage: Bacteria
Description: partial 16S ribosomal RNA
Rfam family: Bacterial small subunit ribosomal RNA
Source: RNAcentral
AGUGAACGCUGGCGGUAGGCCUAACACAUGCAAGUCGAACGGCAGCACAGUAAGAGCUUGCUCUUACGGGUGGCGAGUGGCGGACGGGUGAGGAAUACAUCGGAAUCUACUUUUUCGUGGGGGAUAACGUAGGGAAACUUACGCUAAUACCGCAUACGACCUACGGGUGAAAGCAGGGGAUCUUCGGACCUUGCGCGAUUGAAUGAGCCGCUGUCGGAUUAGCUAGUUGGCGGGGUAAAGGCCCACCAAGGCGACGAUCCGUAGCUGGUCUGAGAGGAUGAUCAGCCACACUGGAACUGAGACACGGUCCAGACUCCUACGGGAGGCAGCAGUGUGGAAUAUUGGACAAUGGGCGCAAGCCUGAUCCAGCCAUACCGCGUGGGUGAAGAAGGCCUUCGGGUUGUAAAGCCCUUUUGUUGGGAAAGAAAAGCAGCAGGUUAAUACCCCGCUGUUCUGACGGUACCCAAAGAAUAAGCACCGGCUAACUUCGUG